AACUCAAAUGAAUUGACGGGGGCCCGCACAAGCGGUGGAGCAUGUGGUUUAAUUCGAUGCAACGCGAAGAACCUUACCUGGUCUUGACAUCCACAGAACUUUCCAGAGAUGGAUUGGUGCCUUCGGGAACUGUGAGACAGGUGCUGCAUGGCUGUCGUCAGCUCGUGUUGUGAAAUGUUGGGUUAAGUCCCGCAACGAGCGCAACCCUUAUCCU
Molecule: ribosomal RNA, 214 nt
Filed under: Escherichia coli
Lineage: Bacteria; Pseudomonadati; Pseudomonadota; Gammaproteobacteria; Enterobacterales; Enterobacteriaceae
Description: partial 16S ribosomal RNA
Rfam family: Bacterial small subunit ribosomal RNA
Source: RNAcentral